CUCUCUAGAGCCUCCAAGGCAUUGCAGAGGCUCAGAACCUCAUUACUUCUAUAAAGUGGAUUCAGUAAUUAGCUCAGGUCAAAAGUUUACAGCUUGUAGGCUGCUGCUAGGGAAUGGUUCCUCCUGGACAUUAGAAGCCAAACUGCAGAAAGCAGGAAUUGGCAUUAAGGCAAAACACUUAAUCAAGGGUCUUUGGGAUGAGAUUCUCUUGCUGUAUUGGCUGACUGGACAGUGAUGUGCCCUCAGAAGGAGAGAUACCACACUAGAGAAGCAGACAGGACAUGGCCAGGAAUCCUUGUGAAGCUGGGAAUCGCCUCCCUGGGUGUGACUUGCGUUAGCAGAGCCAAAAUCCUGCCAUGGCCAGAACAAGGUUUUUAAAGCAGGCUGAAGAAAGCUGCUGCAGGCUCAGUCCUGCCCUGUUCCCUCCACACAGCCCAGCUGAAGAGACCUAAAGCAAGAACUCAUCCCAGUGGGACAGGGCUGGCAUCAGUGGAGAAGACCAGCAAACUUGACAGUGCCCACAAGGAAUGUCCAACUGCCAGCAAGCUGCUCACGGCUCUCAGGCUGCUGGAGGAGUGAUGGGAGGCAGAGGGAGCAUCCACUCCUGGAAUGCUGCUCCCCGGGGUUGGACAGGAGAGACCCCCUGGGAGGCAGCAAUGGCCUACAGCUAUCCAGCAACUCAAAGCUCAAACAUCCCAUGGAAAGGUGCUCCCUGGACAGGUAUCGACGGGGUGAGAGCUGGCUUUGGGUCACCCUUGUUCUAUACAGCCAUCAAACCAGCUCAGAGCACCUUGCUGAGUUGGAGAAGGUGCAGGAAUACUUUCAGAUGCCUCCAAAAUUUCCUUUUAACUGAUUUUCCAAGUGUCCAAAUUUGUUUCAGCCCUGGACAUUGUCAUCAAAGAUAAGAAAGCAGUGAGUGUGGAGGACUUGGUUCCUGACUGGGUCUUUCUGAGGAAGGCAUCAAUGGAGACAUUUUGCUUCCUGUGUCUUAGCAUACACAACUGGGCUUAAAUUCCUCUGAGAAUCUCACACUUUAGGGUGUUCAGCAUUCCCUGAAAAUAUUCCAUUGAUGCAAAAUGAGUGUCCUUGUCCCCACUGCUGAGAACUGUGCACAGGGCAAGGAGGGCUCCAGCUGUGAUCCUGUGGCUCUGAGGACUGACAGGACAGCAGCUUCCAUGGCUUUCUGCCCAGUGUCUUCUACGAGGAAUUUCAGGGGAAAAUAUUUCACAGAAAGGGAGUUGUGAAUGGCUCAUUAGGAAUGAGUGGGAAAGAAGGCACCGUACUACAUGAUGACGUAUCAUGGAGGAAAUGUGACUAAAAUGAAUGUGAAAUAGCAAAAACAAGGCUUCAGGCCUUGGGCCAGUUCCUCAAGAACCCCUUGAAGCAAAUCCUGGAUUUGUCCUCUCUCUGUGGUUACAGAUCAUUGUGUGGGUUCAUGAUCCUAUUGCCAGUCCAUGAUCCUAUUACCUUGGGAAUAGGAGAGAGACUCUGUGAGUCUUCUGAAGUGCCACUAUGAGAGCAAAAAGAAGAGGCUGGACUAGGGUCAGGGAAUUCCCAGCAACUACACAAGCUGUUGUUGAGUGUCUCUGGUUUGAGAACAAGGAAGGAAAAUCAUCAUGACUGAUUUACAGAGACACCCUGAUGAAUGCUAUCAUAACCUGACACUUUGCAUGGAGCGAACAGAAACAAUAAACUAGUGAUUCUG
Molecule: long non-coding RNA, 1705 nt
Organism: Chloebia gouldiae (Gouldian finch)
Lineage: Eukaryota; Metazoa; Chordata; Aves; Passeriformes; Passeridae
Source: Ensembl